Molecule: ribosomal RNA, 424 nt
Filed under: Fusobacteriota bacterium
Lineage: Bacteria; Fusobacteriati; Fusobacteriota
Description: Fusobacteria bacterium partial 16S ribosomal RNA
Rfam family: Bacterial small subunit ribosomal RNA
Source: RNAcentral
UGAGGAAUAUUGGUCAAUGGGCGAGAGCCUGAACCAGCCAAGUAGCGUGCAGGAUGACGGCCCUAUGGGUUGUAAACUGCUUUUAUGUGGGGAUAAAGUGCGUGACGUGUCAUGCAUUGCAGGUACCACAUGAAUAAGGACCGGCUAAUUCCGUGCCAGCAGCCGCGGUAAUACGGAAGGUCCGGGCGUUAUCCGGAUUUAUUGGGUUUAAAGGGAGCGUAGGCUGUCUAUUAAGCGUGUUGUGAAAUAUACCGGCUCAACCGGUGGCUUGCAGCGCGAACUGGUCGACUUGAGUAUGCAGGAAGUAGGCGGAAUUCAUGGUGUAGAGGUGAAAUGCUUAGAUAUCAUGACGAACUCCGAUUGCGCAGGCAGCUUACUGUAGCAUAACUGACGCUGAUGCUCGAAAGUGCGGGUAUCAAACAGG